GGACUGUCUGGGCUUUCCGACACCUGAUUGGAUGGAACGGCCCUGUGUACGCCGACAUCAUUGGAGGACGCUGGAGCCAGGGGGCGGAGCGGAUUCCCCAGGAUUCUUGACCGGGCGCGCUAGUCCGCGGAGCCGGGCGCGGGGCGCGAGAGCGGAGCUGAGCGGGCGGCUGCGGAGGGAAGGUCUCCUAGGCAAUUGGGGUCUUUGAGGCGAAUACGAGGCUGGGGCCGGUUACCGACCGGCCGCUUCUUGCCGAGGCAGUCCAGGCUUUUCCCCUGGCAGUGGCCGCGGCGAGACAGCAUCUGUCAACGCUCCUCUUUUCCCCUCCUCCUCCGGCCGGGCCGGGCUCCGCCGGCUGCGGCCGAGAGGACGCGGGACCCGGCGCGGUGAGCCCAUCAGCUGUCAGGCGAGCGGCGAAGCGGCCGGAGGGCGGCGAGAGACACACAAAGAACGCGGUGGGCGGCGGCGGCGAAAGGGGGCGGCAAAUUCGGGACGGCAACUCCUCCCCGCGCCCGCCGGUGCCACCGCCGCCCGGGCUUGGUCCGAGGCCGCGCAGACAAUGCGGCCGGGCCCCAGAGUGCGGGGCGCCUGCGCUCCCCAGACCCCAACUUGACCGUCACCCUGCUCACCCAGCCCCCUCCCGGGAUAGGGGCGCCCCCCUCGUUCCGGCAGCCGGCGAAGGAAGUCUGUCCGCGGCCGCGUAGCCCGGCAACUUGCAAGCCGGGAAAAGUUUGCGGCGCCUCCGCGGGGCGGCGCGACGCGGCCCGCCCCACGCGUCCGCGGUCACCGAGGGUGACUUUCUCGACUCGUCGUCAGCCGGGGCCGCAGCGCGGCCGACGAGGACUGCGGGGAGGGCCGGAGUCGGUCCGAGGGCUCCCGCACCUGGGGCUGCGGAUGUCAGGUACUUCACUGGGCAUUUUCUCUUCAUGGAGCUUAUAGCAACAAAAGUUAUUUACAAACCACCAGACAUGUUGGCAUCAUCUCUUAGUUGGGCCCUGUGACCAGGGAACCCCUCAUGAAACCACCUCUGCAGCCUGGAGAGUUGCUGUAGAAGAAGGAAAAAAAGAGGAAGACAACGCAACGCAGGAGGAGAUAAGUACCUCUGGACAAAAUGGAAGUAGUAGUUGUUGAACAGAGGGAAAAGGGAUGGGAGAAGGAUGUGGACUGCAAUGUUGCAGUGCCAGCUAAUAACUUUCAUCAUGUACCUCCUUGGCUCAGGUACUGUCUCUUCUACUCUUUUCCUUACUUGUACUACCUUAUUUAGCCCUUAAUUAUAUACUUUCUUGACUCACUUUCAGAAACACUGAUUAUGUGGUCUGCCUCAAAGACAGAAUCCUAGUUUUGGAUUUUAGCCUUA
Molecule: long non-coding RNA, 1357 nt
Organism: Mandrillus leucophaeus (drill)
Lineage: Eukaryota; Metazoa; Chordata; Mammalia; Primates; Cercopithecidae
Exons: 4
Source: RefSeq, a predicted model, not a curated record